GACGAACGCUGGCGGCGUGCUUAACACAUGCAAGUCGAACGGUAAGGCCCUUCGGGGUACACGAGUGGCGAACGGGUGAGUAACACGUGGGUGAUCUGCCCUGCACUUCGGGAUAAGCCUGGGAAACUGGGUCUAAUACCGGAUAGGACUCCUGGCUUCAUGGUUGGGGGUGGAAAGCUUUUGCGGCGUGCGGAUGGGCCCGCGGCCUAUCAGCUUGUGGGUGGGGUAAUGGCCUACCAAGGCGACGACGGGAAGCCGGCCUGGGAGGGUGACCGGUCACACGGGGACUGGGAUACGGCCCAGACUCCUACGGGAGGCAGCAGUGGGGAAUAUUGCACAAUGGGCGCAAGCCUGAUGCAGCGACGCCGCGUGAGGGAUGACGGCCUUCGGGUUGUAAACCUCUUUCAGCUAUGACGAAGCGCAAGUGACGGUAGUAGCAGAAGAAGGACCGGACAACUACGUGCCAGCCGCCGCCGUAA
RNAcentral lists this ribosomal RNA (479 nucleotides) under uncultured bacterium. RNAcentral describes it as "partial 16S ribosomal RNA". It matches the Rfam family "Bacterial small subunit ribosomal RNA", at positions 28 to 523 of the family's 1533-position model. The record is from RNAcentral.